UGCCUCAAAUGGAAAAGAGCAGCAGGUUUGGUUGCUGGCAGGGGACAAAGGUGGACUCAGGCAGGAGGUGGAAAGCGAAGUAAAUGAACUCUGGGGUGGUGUCUCCCAACUCUCACUUCCAGCUCUCCUGUGUUUGUAGACUCUGUGUUCCUAAACAAGGGAAAAUACAGCCACAACCUCCAAAGGAC
Homo sapiens (human) is the source of this 188-nucleotide long non-coding RNA. The record is from Ensembl. NCBI's taxonomy places the organism in Eukaryota, Metazoa, Chordata, Mammalia, Primates, Hominidae.